GAUUUCACAACUCUCUUUGGGUCA
Molecule: non-coding RNA, 24 nt
Filed under: Arabidopsis thaliana (thale cress)
Lineage: Eukaryota; Viridiplantae; Streptophyta; Magnoliopsida; Brassicales; Brassicaceae
Source: RNAcentral